CUGUCCCACUCGGAUGGCGGAUUCCCUCCACGUCCUCUCCUCAGCACGCACUGCAAAAGGACGGCACCCGGCGCUGCUGCCCCGCGCGUGCAGCGCUGCGUCGCCCCCGCGAGGCGAGGUGUGGCCCAGCCGUUGGCUGCCGGCUGCACGGGCUGCGCCACGUGGCGCCCCGGAGCCCGGCGGCCAUUUUGUGGGUUCUUAAAAAAACCUAUUUUAAGUGGCCGUUAAUAUGUUCUUGGUCAGAGGCCAUGGAUGAGGCAUGAGCAGGGUAUUCUGUUUAACAGUAGAAGUGCUGGCAUCAGGGCCACUGGAAUCAGCUCAUCGAUUCUCUCCCUACAGAGCACCAAGCAGUCCCAGGUGAUCAGGAUAUUAAAAACUGGCACAAGUAACAAUCUUUCUGGACAUCUGACAAUUUAUCAUUACACUCAGAUUCAAGGACAGUAGUAGGAUAGAUCUGAAUUCAAGCUGCUAAUGUGUUUCCUCUACCUGGCAAUUUUAUUCCAGUUUCUGUAAAUAAAACUAACAAAUUCCAUAUUUCUUCAUUUAAUUUAUUACCGUUAUGCUUCUUCAUGCCUCUUACAGCAUUUUUUAAAAAGCUGUAUCUUUUCAUGUCUUUUUUUCAAUUAUUGUAUUAAUAAUUUAUUCUCCCACCAGAUGCAAACUGUUUGCUAAGCUCAUACACUGCCAUUAUUAUUAUUAUCAGUAUUAGUAAUGGAAUCAUUAUCAUUCUCAUCACUGAAAGCUAGCUCAUUAUCUGAUAAGUCAAAAUUUCCUCCCAAAGAUUUUGAGGUAUUUGAUUUUCCUCAUUUGUAUUCUCAGAAGUCAUUUCUUCCUCAAUUGCUGAAGAUGAAAACGCACCUUCCAUAAGUAAGCUGCCAUUCUCUUCAUUAUGCAGCUUUGAUUAUGAAUUUUUCUUUUCUUCUUUGCAACACAGAAAGCCAAGAAUAAUUGUGUUUUCAACUGGUUUGUGGCACCCAAGAGAGUUCCUUUCAAAAACAACUACUAGGGGUUAAGUUGUGAUUAUAUGGACUCAAGACAACUAUUGAUUAAAUCCGUGGGAGCUGAUAAGACUGAUAGUUGAUCCAUAGAGUUUUCUGGUGAGCAGGUUCUUGGGGAAUAAACUUUGGGAAGAAUUUCAGAUAAUAAUAUCAGUGACAAGUUGGCCUUUCACAAGUGCAAAAGAUGAAAUAACAUUUUCCUUCUCUCUCAGCCCAUUUUCUCACCCAUAUUGACAUAUCCAAAACCUAGCCUGAACUCAAAUUAGCUAAAAGACUUGCACCAUCUCACACAAGGCUGUCAAGGUGGACGUCUCCUCUUCUGUGAAGUCUGAAUUCUGUAGACGUAUGUUCCAAAAUUUGUCUCUUCAUAGAGUGGCAACUCUGUGACUUUUCUUGAUCAUCACUAGUCAGCAGCUCUAGUAUGAUGAGGUCAUACUUUGUCCAGCUUUCUUACAGCAGGUUUCCUUUAGUCUCCAUCUUAUUUCUCCUU
Long non-coding RNA from Numida meleagris (helmeted guineafowl), 1488 nucleotides. RefSeq lists it as uncharacterized. The transcript is spliced from 3 exons. NCBI's taxonomy places the organism in Eukaryota, Metazoa, Chordata, Aves, Galliformes, Numididae. The record is from RefSeq and is a predicted model, not a curated record.